AGAUAUCUGGCUCAAUGGUUAAGAGCAUUUGCUUUUCUUGCAAAGGACCUGGGUUUAGUUCCCAGUAACUA
Molecule: transfer RNA, 71 nt
Filed under: Neotoma lepida (desert woodrat)
Lineage: Eukaryota; Metazoa; Chordata; Mammalia; Rodentia; Cricetidae
Rfam family: tRNA
About the family: Transfer RNA (tRNA) molecules are approximately 80 nucleotides in length. Their secondary structure includes four short double-helical elements and three loops (D, anti-codon, and T loops).
Source: Rfam by way of RNAcentral